GGGAGUAGCCAAGUGGUAAGGCCCCUGCCUCUGGAGCAGGCAUUCGGGGGUUCGAGUC
This 58-nucleotide transfer RNA is filed under the name Candidatus Peribacteria bacterium RIFCSPHIGHO2_02_FULL_49_16. RNAcentral's name for it is "tRNA-Gln". It matches the Rfam family "tRNA", at positions 3 to 59 of the family's 71-position model. Rfam says of the family: Transfer RNA (tRNA) molecules are approximately 80 nucleotides in length. Their secondary structure includes four short double-helical elements and three loops (D, anti-codon, and T loops). The record is from RNAcentral. Lineage: Bacteria; Candidatus Peregrinibacteriota; Candidatus Peribacteria.